UAAAGCAAAUGAUAGAAGUCUUGGCUAUUGUCUUGACUUAUUUCUAUAAGCUUUGACAAGAGCAUUAAUGGUAGAAGGAUGUCUUUUUAGACUCUUUCCAUUAGCCUUAUAAUUAUAAGUAGUUGUUAGGUUUAACUUCACUCCAUAUAUUUGAAAAAAUCUUUGGCCUUUAUUGUAUCAAAUUUUCCUCAAUCAACCUUCAUCCUUCUAAUGUUGUUAUAUAUAUUAAAGAUAUCCUCAAAAAUGAAUCUGCAUACUCUUUUCAUAAUCUUGAUCCUUAAAGCUCUUCCUAUAAUAUAAUUUGAAAGCCCU
Molecule: long non-coding RNA, 312 nt
Filed under: Physcomitrium patens
Lineage: Eukaryota; Viridiplantae; Streptophyta; Bryopsida; Funariales; Funariaceae
Description: long non-coding RNA (PPAT_LNC009173)
Source: RNAcentral